RNAcentral lists this long non-coding RNA (486 nucleotides) under Marmota monax (woodchuck). The record is from RNAcentral. Lineage: Eukaryota; Metazoa; Chordata; Mammalia; Rodentia; Sciuridae.
CGGUUAUAAAAAACAAAGACAUUUUUCUUCACAAAAUGUUUUAACAACUCAAACUCUGAGAACUUGCCAUAAAGUCAAAACAUUUUGUAUUUUCUCUAUCUGACCAUAAACUCCUUUGAGGUAAAAAGCAAUCUUUGACUCUUAGCCAAGGAUAUUCUGUGAAUGUUGUUUGGGGUAUGUUUAUGAGCUAAUAUUCAUUAGGCAGAAAAAUCUGGUAGAGAAUUUAAAAUAUUUAAUCCUCAUAAUUUUCUUCUUGAAAAAUCAAAUUGACAUUAUUUAGUUGGAAGAAAGUUGCCAACUUUUAUUAAAAUUGUUAGAUGCAAAAGUCACUCCAUCUUAGUAAUAGGUGAAGUAAUCUUCUGACCUCAAUUUGUGAUAUUAUUUGUUGUAGAAUCUGGUAAUCUUGAAAUACAGACCUUUUUUCAGUGAGCAAUUUUACUGAACUAUGAAUGCAGUUUAAUUAAGAAAGAGGUCAGAGUGGUAAUG